UACGUAGGUGGCAAGCGUUAUCCGGAUUUACUGGGUGUAAAGGGAGCGUAGACGGCAGAGCAAGUCUGAAGUGAAAGCCCGCGGCCCAACUGCGGGACUGCUUUGGAAACUGCCCGGCUAGAGUGCUGGAGAGGUAAGCGGAAUUCCUAGUGUAGCGGUGAAAUGCGUAGAUAUUAGGAGGAACACCAGUGGCGAAGGCGGCUUACUGGACAGUAACUGACGUUGAGGCUCGAAAGCGUGGGGAGCAAACAGG
This 253-nucleotide ribosomal RNA is filed under the name uncultured bacterium. RNAcentral describes it as "partial 16S ribosomal RNA". It matches the Rfam family "Bacterial small subunit ribosomal RNA", at positions 524 to 776 of the family's 1533-position model. The record is from RNAcentral.